Molecule: ribosomal RNA, 506 nt
Filed under: uncultured bacterium
Lineage: Bacteria
Description: partial 16S ribosomal RNA
Rfam family: Bacterial small subunit ribosomal RNA
Source: RNAcentral
AGUGAACGCUGGCGGUAGGCCUAACACAUGCAAGUCGAACGGCAGCACAGAGGAGCUUGCUCCUUGGGUGGCGAGCGGCGGACGGGUGAGGAAUACAUCGGAAUCUACUCUGUCGUGAGGGAUAACGUAGGGAAACUUACGCUAAUACCGCAUACGACCUACGGGUGAAAGCAGGGGACCUUCGGGCCUUGCGCGAUUGAAUGAGCCGAUGUCGGAUUAGCUAGUUGGCGGGGUAAAGGCCCACCAAGGCGACGAUCCGUAGCUGGUCUGAGAGGAUGAUCAGCCACACUGGAACUGAGACACGGUCCAGACUCCUACGGGAGGCAGCAGUGGGGAAUAUUGGACAAAGGGCGCAAGCCUGAUCCAGCCAUACCGCGUGGGUGAAGAAGGCCUUCGGGUUGUAAAGCCCUUUUGUUGGGAAAGAAAUCCAGCUGGCUAAUACCCGGUUGGGAUGACGGUACUCAAAGAAUAAGCACCGGCUAACUUCGUGCCAGCCGCCGCGGUAA